UGCCAGACUCCUACGGGAGGCAGCAGUGGGGAAUAUUGCACAAUGGGGGAAACCCUGAUGCAGCGACGCCGCGUGAGUGAAGAAGUAUUUCGGUAUGUAAAGCUCUAUCAGCAGGGAAGAAAAUGACGGUACCUGACUAAGAAGCCCCGGCUAACUACGUGCCAGCAGCCGCGGUAAUACGUAGGGGGCAAGCGUUAUCCGGAUUUACUGGGUGUAAAGGGAGCGUAGACGGCAUGGCAAGUCAGAUGUGAAAGCCCGGGGCUCAACCCCGGGACUGCAUUUGAAACUGUCAGGCUGGAGUGCAGGAGAGGUAAGUGGAAUUCCUAGUGUAGCGGUGAAAUGCGUAGAUAUAAGGAAGAACACCAGUGGCGAAGGCGGAUGACUGGACGGCAACUGACGGUGAGGCGCGAAAGCGUGGGGAGCAAACAGGAUUAGAUACCCCUGUAAG
This 448-nucleotide ribosomal RNA is filed under the name uncultured bacterium. RNAcentral describes it as "bacterial SSU rRNA". It matches the Rfam family "Bacterial small subunit ribosomal RNA", at positions 329 to 793 of the family's 1533-position model. The record is from RNAcentral.